AGCUUACAUCACUUAGCAUAAUGCUUUCAAGGUUCAUCCAUGUUGUAGCAUGUAUCAAAUUUCAUUACUUUUUAUGGAUGAUUCACAUUCCAUUGUAUGUAUAUGCUAUACCACAGUUUCUUUAUCCAUUCAUCUGUGGAUGGACAUGUGGGUUAUUUCUAUCUCUGGACUUAUGCGAAUAAUGUCACAAUGAACGUUGGUAUACAUGUAUCCGAGUUCUUGUUUUCAAGUUUUGGGGGUAUAUACCUAGGAAUCAAAUUGCUGGGUCAUAUGGUGAUUUAAAGGAGGGGCCUUAAAAGCUUAUUUAUUCUGAUUCCUUCAUCCUAGACUUGCAGUCAAGAUGCCUGCCCCCCAGUCUCCUCAGGCCACCUAGCUCCCAGUUCCCAGUAAGCUCCUUUCCCUAAGCCAAUGGAUCAACAUGCUGUGCAAUGGAUCUUGAAGACUUAUUCCUCCUGCCUAACUGAAACUUUGUACCCUUUGACCAACAUCCAUCUGAUUUAAAGUGGGAGUGAACUGAGUACAUAGACAUUGGGGACUCCUUGAGGACAGAGACUAAGUCUUGCACAUCUCGGUAUUCUCAAUGCCCAACACAAUAGAUUGUACCUAUAAGAUGCUAAAUAAAUGCUUUUUGGUUAGAACUGUUUGGGCUGGGUGGUCUUUGCUUAGAGAAUAGAGACAGUUGUGAGAAUAGGAGAUAAAUGUGAAUUCCAGAGGCUUACAGAUUUAGAGCUAGAUUAGUCUUGAAAACAAUUUGCAAAGUAAAAAUUUCCCAGGACUUGGGGAAAGCAGGAAGACAUGCAUAUCAUAGAGCUUCCCAUUAAUAGAACAUUUGUUGAAAAUCAUAAUGUUCUGAGUCAGAGUCCCUGUUUUGUCAGAGAACACAUAUUUGACUUGGCCGAGCUCCUCAGUAAGGGUGGUAGUACGAGCCUGUGCUGGUGUGUUCCUUGGUGCAUAAAACAUCUUCCGAUCCCAGUUGAUAUAUAAACUGUUGCCCAAUCUUAUUAUUUCAACACUAAGGAGAAAGCAGAAAAAGAAUGGUUCUGCGUCAGAACAGGACAAGCAAAUAUAUCAUCCUGGUUUCUUUCUUAGCAGGGCUAAGCAUCUGAAAAUCAGAGUGUCUUCCUUGGGAUUCUACCCUUCUGAAGGACCCUUCCCACCAGCCAACCCAUUGUAAUGCUGACUUUGGCCAUUAUCACCCAAGGCUUUACCACCUGGACCCAGAUAUACUUGAUUAACUUUUUUGAGUCAUACCUGGCUUUUAUUCUUUUUUUUUUUUUCCAUAAUGUAUCCAGGAAAAGUUACAAUUUUGGAAUUUCUGCAGUAAUGCAAGGUGUGAUAGAGUAACAGUUAACUUAUAAAAGGCUGUGUUGGCCCAAUUGGAGGAUUAUUGCUCCUGUCACAUGGGGAAGACAGAGAACCUUGACACACUCAGAGUUUAUUUCAGAAGAAGGAAAGAAGCUAUGAAAAUCAGGAAUAGUUUAUGGGCUGACCCUCUGAUAAAUUUCCAGGCAGAGCCAGCCUGCCUGUGGUGUGUCUCCUCCCACAACAACCUCUUCUCAUUUUAUAUAAGUUUUCCCUAUUGCCUCUGUCAUACUCCUCUUCUGCUCCAAAUAGCGUCC
This 1619-nucleotide long non-coding RNA is filed under the name Homo sapiens (human). Its description in RNAcentral is "HSALNT0351780". Lineage: Eukaryota; Metazoa; Chordata; Mammalia; Primates; Hominidae. The record is from RNAcentral.